RNAcentral lists this ribosomal RNA (419 nucleotides) under uncultured bacterium. RNAcentral's name for it is "bacterial SSU rRNA". It matches the Rfam family "Bacterial small subunit ribosomal RNA", at positions 355 to 787 of the family's 1533-position model. The record is from RNAcentral.
UGGGGAAUAUUGGGCAAUGGGCGCAAGCCUGACCCAGCAACGCCGCGUGAAGGAAGAAGGCUUUCGGGUUGUAAACUUCUUUUGUCGGGGACGAAACAAAUGACGGUACCCGACGAAUAAGCCACGGCUAACUACGUGCCAGCAGCCGCGGUAAUACGUAGGUGGCAAGCGUUAUCCGGAUUUACUGGGUGUAAAGGGCGUGUAGGCGGGAUCGCAAGUCAGAUGUGAAAACUGGAGGCUCAACCUCCAGCCUGCAUUUGAAACUGUGGUUCUUGAGUACUGGAGAGGCAGACGGAAUUCCUAGUGUAGCGGUGAAAUGCGUAGAUAUUAGGAGGAACACCAGUGGCGAAGGCGGCUUACUGGACGGUAACUGACGUUGAGGCUCGAAAAGCGUGGGGAGCAAACAGGAUUAGAUACCC